RNAcentral lists this ribosomal RNA (338 nucleotides) under Dasypus novemcinctus (nine-banded armadillo). RNAcentral's name for it is "partial 12S ribosomal RNA". It matches the Rfam family "Bacterial small subunit ribosomal RNA", at positions 537 to 989 of the family's 1533-position model. Lineage: Eukaryota; Metazoa; Chordata; Mammalia; Cingulata; Dasypodidae. The record is from RNAcentral.
AACCCAAAUUAAUAGUUAUCGGCGUAAAGCGUGUUUAAGACACCCAAGCAAUAGAGUUAAACCUUUACUACGCUGUAAAAAGCCUCAGUAAAACCAUAAACCCUUCGACGAAAGUGACUCUAACCUAUCUGACUACACGAUAGCUAGGACCCAAACUGGGAUUAGAUACCCCACUAUGCCUAGCCCUAAACUAAAACAGUUCACAAACAAAACUGUUCGCCAGAGUACUACUAGCAACAGCUUAAAACUCAAAGGACUUGGCGGUGCUUUACACCCCUCUAGAGGAGCCUGUUCUAUAAUCGAUAAACCCCGAUAUACCUCACCAUCCCUUGCUAAUA